RNAcentral lists this long non-coding RNA (1323 nucleotides) under Citrus x clementina. Its description in RNAcentral is "Citrus clementina (C. clementina) long non-coding RNA (CCLE_LNC006269)". Lineage: Eukaryota; Viridiplantae; Streptophyta; Magnoliopsida; Sapindales; Rutaceae. The record is from RNAcentral.
CACAAAAACGGGUGGGUUAUAGCCUUCGGGGGUGGGGCUGGCAAACUUCGUCCGCCGGACUCGGAAUGCCGCGAGACUUUGCGAGGGGACUCCAUGCGGUAAAAAUAGGCCGAGGGCAAAGCCAUGCCCAAAAAUAACCGCCCGAAGGCCGGGGCACCAACUUCGUCCAGCGGAAAAAGGCCACGAAAACGGGUGGGCUAUAGCCUUGGGGGGUGGGGCUGGCCAACUUCGUCCGCCGGACUCGGAAUGCCGCGAGAAUUUGCGAGGGGACUCCGUGCGUCAAAAAUAGGCCACGGGCAAAGCCAUGCCCAAAAAUAACCACCCGAAGGCCGGGGCGCCAACUUCGUCCAGCGGAAAAAGGCCACGAAAACGGGUGGGCUAUAGCCUUGGGGGGUGGGGCUGGCCAACUUCGUCCGCCGGACUGAGAAUGCCGCGAGACUUUACGAGGCGCCUCCGUAUACAAAAAAUAGUCCGCGGGCACAUCGUCGCCCAAAAAUAACCGCCCGAAGGCCAGGGCGCCAAGUUCAUCCAGCGGAAAAAUCCCACAAAAACGGGUAGGCUAUAGCCUUGGGGGCUGGGGCUGGCCAACUUCGUCCACCGGACUCGGAAUGGCGCGAAACUUUGCGAGGCGCCUCCCUGCACCAAAAAUAGGCUGCGGGCACAGCCGCGCCCCAAAAUAACCCCCCGAAGGCCGGGGCGCCAAGUUCGUCCAGCGGAAAAAGCCCACAAAAACGGGUGGGCUAUAGCCUUGGGGGGUGGGGCUGGCCGACUUCGUCCGCCGGACUCGGAAUAGCGCGAGACUUUGCGAGGCGCCUCCGUGUGCCAAAAAUAGGCCGCGGGCACAGCUGCGCCCAAAAAUAACCACCCAAAAGCCGGGGCGCCAAUUUCGUCCAGCGGAAAAAGCCGACAAAAACGGGUGGGCUAUAGCCUUGGGGGGUGGGGCUGGCCGACUUCGUCCGCCGGACUCGGAAUGGUGCGAGACUUUGCGAGGCACCUCCGUGUGCCAAAAAUAGGCCACGGGCACAGCUGCGCCCAAAAAUAACCACCCGAAGGCCGGGGCGCCAAUUUCGUCCAGCGGAAAAAGCCCACAAAAACGGGUGGGCUAUAGCCUUGGGGGGUGGGGCUGGCCAACUUCUUCCGGCGGACUCGGAAUGGCGCGAGACUUUACGAGGUGCCUCUGUGUGCCAAAAAUAGGCCACGGACGCAGCCGUGCUAAAAAAUAACCGACCGAAGGCCGGGGCGCCAAGUUCGUCCUGCGGAAAAAGCCGACAAAAACGGGUGGGCUAUAGCCUUGGGGGGUGGGGCUGGCCAACUUCGUCCGCC